CUAAAAAUUAUCACAGUUCAGUCAAAAGCCGAUAAAAUUGCAAAUUCUUGAAACCCGGGGUUUUCUCCUCAAGAUUCCUCGGUUUUUCUGCUAACCCUUCAACCCAGGUAAAAGUUGAUUUAUACCCCUGUUGCUGAACAUCAAAAGGAAGCCAAGAUGCAAACUGAAAGUGCUCUCUCUGUGCUUGGUUCAAGGCCAAUGGAAAUAUCUACUGUUCCAAAUAUUGGUCCUGAUACUAAUGGAAAGCAGCGAAAAUCAAGUUUGGAAUCACCUAUAAUGCUGCUGACUGGCCAUCAAAGUGCCAUCUAUACAAUGAAGUUCGAUCCAGCAGGAAACAUCAUUGCAUCUGGUUCUCAUGAUAAAGAAAUAUUUCUGUGGAAUGUACACGGUGAUUGCAAAAACUACAUGGUUUUGAAAGGACACAAGAAUGCAGUUUUGGAUGUACAGUGGACUACUGAUGGCUUGACAAUAGUCUCAGCUAGCCCAGACAAGACAAUUAGGGCAUGGGAUGUUGAGACCGGAAAACAGAUAAAAAAGAUGGCAGAACACUCCUCCUUUGUAAAUUCUUGUUGUCCUGCUCGAAGAGGUCCUCCUUUAAUUGUCACUGGAUCUGACGAUGGUACUGCUAAACUUUGGGAUAUGCGUCAAAGGGGUGCAAUACAAACUUUUCCAGAUAAGUACCAAAUUACUGCAGUGAGUUUUUCUGAUGCAUCUGAUAAGAUUUACAGUGGAGGUAUAGACAACGAUGUCAAAGUUUGGGAUUUGCGAAGAAAUGAAGUUACUAUGACACUUCAAGGCCAUCAGGAUAUGAUAACUGGUAUGCAGUUAAGUCCAGAUGGUUCGUAUCUUCUUACUAAUGGCAUGGACUGUACACUUCGCAUAUGGGAUAUGCGUCCAUAUGCCCCUCAGAACCGAUGUGUGAAGAUUUUAGAAGGUCACCAGCACAAUUUUGAAAAGAACUUGUUGAAAUGCAGCUGGUCAUCUGAUGGAAGCAAGGUCACAGCUGGAAGUUCUGACCGCAUGGUUUACGUAUGGGAUACAACUUCUCGGCGUAUACUGUAUAAACUUCCUGGUCAUACUGGAUCCAUAAAUGAAUGUGUCUUCCAUCCUAGUGAACCUGUUAUUGGUUCUUGCAGUAGUGAUAAGCAGAUUUAUCUUGGUGAGAUAUGAAGAACAUUCAGUUUUGGGACAUCUUACCUGCACAUUUAGAAUGUUGAUAGUUUGUUGUGACAUCCAUCAGGGGCCAGCAUGAAGGUCUGCAGAAGUGCUUUGCUCAUUUAAACUAUAGAUAUCUCCUGUUCAGACAUGGAAGAUAAUGAGUUUUAUGUGAAAUAAGAACACUGAAAUAUGACGGAACAUAUUUGACUAUGUUUGCUUGCACUACUAGAUACUAUUACUCAAUCCUCUAUUGAAAUUAGCACCCGCUUUCCUUGCUCUUUUUCCCCUGUCCAUUGCAUGAUUUCUUUUUCAUAGAUGCAUGCCUUCCAGAGCAACAAACCUAGUUGUAUUGACCAAAUAACCAUUUUUCUGAAUACACGAGUACAACAUCUCCCAUUGCGCGAUUGUGAUACUAUUUUCUUUCAAGUUAGAAUUUGCUGCUGUCUGAUAUGCAUUGGACUUGGGUGUAAUGAAUUCUAAUCUUUGAUCGAGCAAAAUAAUGAUAAAAUAAGUUACAGA
Molecule: RNA transcript, 1677 nt
Organism: Coffea arabica (coffee)
Lineage: Eukaryota; Viridiplantae; Streptophyta; Magnoliopsida; Gentianales; Rubiaceae
Source: RefSeq, a predicted model, not a curated record